GAGCAACAGGCCUUCUAAACUGGUAGUGGGUGAAUUAGUGCCUAUUUACUCACCUCCUCAUUCUCUAUAACUGCCAGUAUAUUAACUUUGUUCAGAGUUCCUAGACCAGGCUAUUUAGGACUUUCUAUUUUACACAGUAAUCUGGCUUUGGUGGGGGAAUAUCUGCAGCUGCCUGAUUUAGGGAAUUCAGUAUCCAAUUUUUCUUUUGCACAAAGCCAGAAUUCAGUCCUGACAUCCACCAGUCCAGCACCCAGCUGAAGGAUGUGUUAUCAUCAUCACACAGCAGACCCAAGUCUUGCCUCAUAAUAUACUGGAAUAAGAUUAUGUAAAGUGGUGCUGUAUAACUUCUCAGCAUUAGUGGAUCAGAGGAUACUUUUUCUCUUGUGACUCAUCCGUCAUUCUGUAUCUUGCCAAGUGGACCCAUUUGUUUCUGGAAAAGACACCAAUAAUGCAUCAUGCAUAUGGAUGCUCAAACAGCUGCUCCCCAGAUUGUCUUAUUUAAUGUGAUGGUCUGCAACAGACUCCCAGCAGAAUCUCAUCUUUUGGUUUAUUGGUUAGGAUACUGAUCCAUGAGUUCCAGGUUUUGUGCUUCUGAAUUAUCAAUAACUCCAAAGCCAGCUUUCGAUAGCCUCUGACACAGUGGAACCACAGCAGCCACAUUGUGUGGAGGCGAGGGCAGGAAGUCAGAAGUCCAUGCAGGGACCUUCAAUACUGAACCUUUCAGCGUUUACAAGUGCUGCUGUGCACACCAGAUCUUUGAGGCCAAUACACAGAUACUUUGGUCCUUCUUCCUGUCUUGCAGAAGUGGAAUAAUGCCCACUUUCUCCUUAAGCGGAGAAUUCUUGACACUCCUCCCAUGGAUUCCUCAGUUUCUCAAACUGGACUCUUGAGGCAACAUUUGGUUCAUAAUUGGGACAGGAAGGAAGACAAAGUAUCCUCACAACAUACUCACCAGUGUGGUACACUCCAAAAAGAUUAACUAUUAAAAAAGAAGGUGGGGUUAGUCUUGUUUUAAACCAACUUGACACUACUGAAGUCUGGGAAUGAAAUUUGCUCUUGGCUUAGAAACUGUACAGUUUGAAGUGAAGAUGUAUACCAAACGUAUAGAACACCAACAAUAGAGUUGAAAAUAUUUUUUCAAAUGUGUGACCAUACCAUUAUAGUUAAACAAAUGAAGUAUCAUCUUUAGUAAUAUAUUAAAAGUAGAAGAGGAUGAAGCUCCUAUUUUAUUUUUUGCAAGUUUUUUAAAUUGAUGCAAAUGGAAACUGUACCUAAUGCUAGCCACUAUUUCCAAACGUCAGUAAAACAGAUGCCUAUUUUAACCACUGGUAAGGUGUUUAAAGUAUGAAGUGAACAAACAAGCUAGAUAAGUUAACUGUUCCUUCAUUUCUUUCCACUUGAAAUGAAUUUUAAGAUCUAUCACUGACCAUUGU
Long non-coding RNA from Trachemys scripta elegans, 1433 nucleotides. RefSeq lists it as uncharacterized. NCBI's taxonomy places the organism in Eukaryota, Metazoa, Chordata, Testudines, Emydidae. The record is from RefSeq and is a predicted model, not a curated record. The transcript is spliced from 5 exons.